Callithrix jacchus (white-tufted-ear marmoset) is the source of this 3531-nucleotide non-coding RNA. The record is from RefSeq and is a predicted model, not a curated record. NCBI's taxonomy places the organism in Eukaryota, Metazoa, Chordata, Mammalia, Primates, Cebidae.
AGAAAAAAAAGAUUCCCCUAAGUCGGUACUUGGAAUGUGAGAUGGAGCUACUCAGCCAGUUAUUUCAUUAUUGAAUAAACAUGAAUCAUUUAACAGAUGAAGUGAGUGCUUACUGUGGUCUCAAUAGUGGACCGUGUCACAUAAAAAUGUAAGAUGUGGCCUUGUCCUCAAGGAGUAAGCAUUUGAACUAAUAAAGCCAAAUAAUGGAAGUGAAUUUUAAUUUAGCUUCCAUUUUCUAGGUAAUUUCUCAGGUCUUUAGUUUGUGACUUUAGAUUCUUAGUUUUCCUGAGUCGUUUAGAACUUGCUGAAGACGCCUUCUCAGCUGAGCCUAUUAUAUUGACGACACUGGGUUUUGUUGUUGUCGUUUUGUUUGUUUUUAAUCCCAAAGGUGCUGUUAAAAUUGCUCUCUGAAAAUAUUUAAGACAUUUUUAUUUCAGAUGCAACUUAGUCUCUGAUAUGCUAUUAAUAUUGACCUGCAAUUUUUGUUGUGAAUAAGCCUUUGCAGUGAGGCCCAUAGAUGAUUUACUGUGAGAGUAAUUGGGAAUUCAUUCUGCCCCAAUUGGCAUGGCCUCUAUUUCAUUGUGUUCUUUAAAAAAAAAACAAAAACAACAACGAAAAACAUCACUACUGAGCUAGAAAUUAAGAACAUAAAUCCGAGUUUUCUUUCAAAACAAUUUUACCAAGUUUAGGUUUGCAAGAGCCCCACUUUAUAAUAAUUCACUCAACUUAUUAUUUCGUCUUCCAGUAGAUCAUUAUGAAGUGACAUCAUUUAUUACAGAUAAACUAGGCUUACUUUUUCUAAAAAGUUAUAUUCAGAGACAUCUCCAAAUUAAAUUGUAAUUUUCAAAUCACUAUGAGAUGUAAAAUGCUUUGCCUGAGGCUGAGAUUCGGAGGUGGGUAAGUCAAUUCUUGCUUUAAAUGAGCAUUCAACCUAGUGAGGAAGAGAUUUUUGUCAAAGAGUAAACCUCUUUUUUUUAAUUUUGAGAUAGAGUCUCACUCUGUCACCCAGACCCGAGUGCAGUGGCACAAUCUCGGCACACUGCAAUGUCCACCACCUGGGAUCAAGUUAUUCUCCUGCCUCAGCCUCCAAAGUAGCUGGGAUUACAGGUGUGUGUCACCAUGCCCAGCUAAUUUUCUUUUUUUUUGUAUUUUUAGUAGCGACAGGGUUUCACCAUGUUGGCUAGGCUGCUCUGAAACUCCUGACCUCAAAUGAUCUGCCCACUGCAGCCUCCCAAAGUGCUGGGAUUACAGGUGUGAGCCACUGCACCCAGCGAGUAAACCUCUUAAAACCUGAUAUGGUGGUUCUUGCCUGUAAUCCCAGCUACUCAGGAGGCUGAUGCUGGAGGGUUGCUUGAGGCCAGGAGCACACAAGUAAAAGACUGUCAUCAAGACAAGGAAUGAGAGGAUGCCAAGUAAAUUCAUAGAAGAGUAGUCUUUAUACCAUAUUUGAUAAAGAGGAGGCUUUUGAUGUUGCAGAAGGAUAGUAAUGAUGACACUGAAGAUGUUUCACUGUUUGAUGUGGAAGAGAUGACUAAUAGACCAAGAAAAUAGAAAAUCAGACAUCCAGUAGUCAUCAUUUUUCCACUUUUCUUAUGAGUCAGUGCAAUGGUUACCUAUGUUCUCUGUGAGUUGCUCAGCAGCAGCUUUAUUAUCUGUAUGGUGACAAUUAUCUUGUUGUCAUGUUACUUUUGGGCCAUGAAGAAUGUCACAGGUAGACUAAUGGAUGGCCUACCUUGCUGGAAUCACAUUGAUGAAGAUGGAAAGAGCCAUUGGGUGUUUGAAUCUAGAAAGGAAUCCUUUCAAGAGAAUAAAACUGUGUCAGAGGCUGAAUCAAGAAUCUUUUGGUUGGGACUUAUUGCCUGUCCAGUGCUGUGGGUGAUACUUACCUUUAGUGCCCCCUUCUUCAGAGUAAAGUGGUUAAUGGUGGUUAUCAUGGGUGUGGUGCUACAAGGUGCCAACCUGUAUGGUUACAUCAGAUGUAAGGUAGGCAGCAGAAAGAAUUUAACCAGCAUGGCUACUUCAUGUCUUGGAAAGCAGUUUUUUGUUUUGUUUUGCUUUGUUUUGAGAUGGAGUUUCACUCUUAUUACCCAGGCUGGAGUGCAAUGGUGCGAUCUCAGCUCACCGACCUCCGCCUCCUGGGUUCAAGCAAUUCUCCUACCUCAGCCUCCUGAAUAGCUGGCUGCACCACCAUGCCCAGUUAAGUUUUGUAUUUUUUAGUAGAGACGGGGUUUCACUAUGUUGACCAGGAUGGUCUCAAUCUCUUGACCUAGUGAUCUACCCACCUUGGCCUCCCAAAGUGCUGGGAUUAUAGCCGUGAGCCACUGCGCCCGGCGGAAAGCAGUUUUUAAGACAAAUCACUGGAGGUGAUCAGAUUCCUGAAUAGAAAGCUUAUGUGCUUUGUUACAUUGGAGAACAACUGAAGAGAUUCUUGACUCUGAAUCUUUUAGAGCUUGGUCCAUGUUGCCACAAGGAGUGUUGGCUUUGUUUUUCCACUUAAAAACUUUAUUUAUAAAAAGGGAAGGUACUUUUCAUAUUAGGUUUUUAUUUCCUUUCCAGCAGUUGGGGCUAGGAAGUAUAUGUUGGCACUAGAAACAUUGUCAAGAUUUGUUCAGUGGUAUAGGUAUGCACAUGUUCUGUAGGUAUGCACAACACAGCCAUAUAAUAUCAAUAUAUCCCAGGUUAAUGAAAGUGUUCAUUUACAUAGCUAAUGGAGACCUUUACAUUUUGAUCCAAAGAACAUAGGAGGGUGUUCUUAGUCUGUCUCAAAGCUCUGUGGGUUUACAUAUUAUUUCUGUAGAUUAUUUUCAGAAGUAAGUUUUGCUUCCAUGGUAAGAGUGAGCACUUUGGCUUAUGUAUAAGUUGGAAAUAAUUGUUAGUUUUUAAUAUGUACCUCAUGGGAAAAUUUCUUAGACAUAUGCAAGCAAAUGAAAAUAAUUGGGUGAGUGGUAUUAACUAUUUUCUAAAAUUUUAUUUUUAUUUGUAAGAACUCAUUUACUUAAGGCCCAGUUAAUAUAAAUGGAAUCAUCAUAGUUUAUUUAACAAAUACACAGAGAUUGCUGCUGUUCUAUUUACAGAAAGAAUAGCUAGAUUGAAAGCUCUUCAGUGGAACUUGAGCUAAUACAUCUUUUACCACUAAAAGAGCAUUACUUUCAUGUCAUUAUAGGAAUAAUCAUUUACAUACUUGGCAUAAUAAAUGUCUAAAAGAUUUUAUUUUCUGAAUCUAUAUAUUUUUCUUGCUAUACUGGGGAUAUUGUAAAUUAUGUAUUUGUAUUAAUGGUAUUUCUUAAAGCAAUAGAUGUAACUGUAAACUAAAGCAAUAUACAAACUAUUUUAGGCACCUGUAAAUUCUGUUGUAGGUCCUAUAAACUUUGUUGAAGUCUUAAUCAGCAGAUUAUGUUGUGAAUAUAUUUGUACAUUGUUAAAAUGUUUUUAAAGAUUAUUUGUUUAAUUGAAUUAGUGUCUUAUUGGAGUGAUAGCUUUGAAGGUGCAAAACUUUGUUUUUGUAUAAAAUUCCUGUUUACAAGGCAAAAA